Long non-coding RNA from Nematostella vectensis (starlet sea anemone), 492 nucleotides. RefSeq lists it as uncharacterized. The transcript has 2 exons. NCBI's taxonomy places the organism in Eukaryota, Metazoa, Cnidaria, Anthozoa, Actiniaria, Edwardsiidae. The record is from RefSeq and is a predicted model, not a curated record.
UAUCUGUGAAAGCCCCUGGAAGGGGUGAAGAGGCUCCUGAUAGACCUCUUCACCGAAGAAGAGCUCAUGCGGUGCAGACUGAAGGGAAAGGGAAGGUCCAGGAUGCACCUGGGCAGAAACAAGGUGCAGAUAAUUUAUGGUGCAAUGAGGGGAAAUUACGGAAUGACUGAUGAGAAAGUGGACCAGCUGAUUAGAAAUCAGCAAAAAUCCUUAAAAGGCAAAACCAAAAAAAAGUCUUCAGUAAAGCUAAAUGAAAUGUCCAUUGUUUGUGUAAAAUGUUCGCUUUAGUGGGUUUUUUAACCAUAGAGAUAUUUUAGCUUGCCUUGCACUUUUUGUUGUAUACCAACUUUUUGUCGAAUUUGGUUUUGUCUUUUAACGAUUUUUGCUGAUUUCUAUGACGUUAUAGAAGUCACUGUUCACGUUGUAUCCGAAAAUUAUAAAGUUGAUUAUCAAAUUUUGAGAUAAUUGUAAAUUUGUUCUGUAUUCUAAAAA